This 253-nucleotide ribosomal RNA is filed under the name uncultured bacterium. RNAcentral's name for it is "partial 16S ribosomal RNA". It matches the Rfam family "Bacterial small subunit ribosomal RNA", at positions 524 to 776 of the family's 1533-position model. The record is from RNAcentral.
UACGUAGGUGGCAAGCGUUGUCCGGAAUUAUUGGGCGUAAAGCGCGCGCAGGUGGUUUCUUAAGUCUGAUGUGAAAGCCCACGGCUCAACCGUGGAGGGUCAUUGGAAACUGGGGAACUUGAGUGCAGGAGAGAAGAGUGGAAUUCCACGUGUAGCGGUGAAAUGCGUAGAGAUGUGGAGGAACACCAGUGGCGAAGGCGGCUACCUGGCCCAAUACUGACACUCAGGUGCGACAGCGUGGGGAGCAAACAGG